UUUAAAAUGAAGUAAUAUAUAAUAUAUCGUUGAGCUAACACACGUUCAAAUUGAUAGAGAUAUCAUUGUCCGGGCUCUUGUAACAACUCUAUCUUCUCCUUAUUUAAUAUAUGGGGUAAAUCUUUUGCCUCCGUUUCGAAAAAAAAAUACUUACACAAGGAUACAUAUAUUAUGCACCAAUCAUGAAGAUCCAUAGAUCAUACACCAUGGGUAUCUGACUGAAUACAACUAUAUGCAGAAUUGCACAUGGCACCUAAGUGUGAAGCAUGUCCGGGAUAAUUUGGCAGAGGAUCUCAAACAAAUACUUCGAUUUUAUAGUAUCUAGUAGCACUAGCAGCCACAAAUAUAAUUUUUGUCUAGUCACCAACAAAAAAAUCCCAAAAUUUAAGCCCUAACUCUAUCAAUCCCUAGCACAAAGUAAUUAUUCCCUCAGGGAUGGGAGGAAGGAGAGGCAGAGAUGGGAGGAAGGAGACUGCCUGAACGUCUGGCGUCUGCUCGUCGCUGGCCGUGCCUGUAGCCGUCCAGUGUCUGGCGUCUGCUCCUCCCUUCUCCCUCUCUAGCCCCUGUUGGCCAGUCCUUCCGUUCGCCGCCUGCGAGAAACAAAAGAGUAGUUGGAGCGAUGGAUCUGUCCAUCAUACGAAUUCCCUCACGUCGUGAACUCGUGAAAAAAAAGUUGUUUCAGCCUGUGCUACAGAGACUGCAGUACCGUUGGCCUGUGAACAUGUGAGAAAUGAAGGCCCGCAAU
This 745-nucleotide long non-coding RNA is filed under the name Triticum aestivum (bread wheat). RNAcentral's name for it is "long non-coding RNA (TAES_LNC012760)". The record is from RNAcentral. Lineage: Eukaryota; Viridiplantae; Streptophyta; Magnoliopsida; Poales; Poaceae.